AAGCAGUAGCCGCGGGAAUACGAAGGGUGCAAGCGUUACUCGGAAUUACUGGGCGUAAAGCGUGCGUAGGUGGUGGUUUAAGUCCGUUGUGAAAGCCCUGGGCUCAACCUGGGAAUUGCAGUGGAUACUGGGUCACUAGAGUGUGGUAGAGGAUAGUGGAAUUUCCGGUGUAGCAGUGAAAUGCGUAGAGAUCGGAAGGAACAUCUGUGGCGAAGGCGACUAUCUGGGCCAACACUGACACUGAGGCACGAAAGCGUGGGGAGCAAACAGGAUUAGAUACCCCCGUAGUCCCUGUCUCUUAUAC
This 304-nucleotide ribosomal RNA is filed under the name uncultured bacterium. RNAcentral describes it as "partial 16S ribosomal RNA". It matches the Rfam family "Bacterial small subunit ribosomal RNA", at positions 506 to 807 of the family's 1533-position model. The record is from RNAcentral.